UACGGAGGGUGCAAGCGUUAAUCGGAAUUACUGGGCGUAAAGCGCACGCAGGCGGUCUGUCAAGUCGGAUGUGAAAUCCCCGGGCUCAACCUGGGAACUGCAUCCGAAACUGGCAGGCUAGAGUCUUGUAGAGGGGGGUAGAAUUCCAGGUGUAGCGGUGAAAUGCGUAGAGAUCUGGAGGAAUACCGGUGGCGAAGGCGGCCCCCUGGACAAAGACUGACGCUCAGGUGCGAAAGCGUGGGGAGCAAGCAGGAUUAGAUACCCUGGUAGUCCACGCCGUAAACGAUGUCGACUUGGAGGUGGUGGCCUUGAGGCGUAGGUUCCGGAGCUAACGCGUUAAGUCGACCGCCUGGGGAGUACGGCCGCAAGGUUAAA
RNAcentral lists this ribosomal RNA (375 nucleotides) under uncultured bacterium. RNAcentral's name for it is "bacterial SSU rRNA". It matches the Rfam family "Bacterial small subunit ribosomal RNA", at positions 524 to 898 of the family's 1533-position model. The record is from RNAcentral.